UACGUAGGGGGCCAGCGUUGCUCGGAAUUACUGGGCGUAAAGGGUUCGUAGGCGGUGCGGCAAGUUGGGAGUGAAAUCUCUGGGCUUAACUCAGGGGCUGCUUUCAAAACUGCCGCGCUCGAGUGCGAGAGAGGUCAGUGGAAUUGCAGGUGUAGCGGUGAAAUGUGUAGAUAUCUGCAGGAGCACCCGUGGCGAAGGCGGCUGACUGGAUCGCAACUGACGCUGAGGAACGAAAGCUAGGGGAGCAAACAGG
This 253-nucleotide ribosomal RNA is filed under the name uncultured bacterium. RNAcentral's name for it is "partial 16S ribosomal RNA". It matches the Rfam family "Bacterial small subunit ribosomal RNA", at positions 524 to 776 of the family's 1533-position model. The record is from RNAcentral.